This is a long non-coding RNA of Mirounga angustirostris (Northern elephant seal), 934 nucleotides long. RefSeq lists it as uncharacterized. NCBI's taxonomy places the organism in Eukaryota, Metazoa, Chordata, Mammalia, Carnivora, Phocidae. The record is from RefSeq and is a predicted model, not a curated record. The transcript is spliced from 3 exons.
GCUCUUAACUACUAAAAUAAUUCUUAUCAUUGAAGACUUUAUCUCAUGACAUAAAAAUUAAGAUUCAACUCUAAUCAGUCACCAAAAGAAUGAAGCAGUGAUUUUAAUUUGAAUCAAUACACAGAAUUCAGACUUUUUUUUUCCAUAGGACUUUCUUGACCUGUCAAGUCAACCAAAGAAGGCAUGCUGGGUUUUGCUGUAUAAGAUAUAGCUUCAACCCAACGCAAUUAAGUUGAAAAAACAAGCACCCAAACUGAUUAUUUACUAAUCUUUACAAAAAAGUUCCAGCUGAUUGCCUACGUUUUUCACUGUCCACUGACUGAUUUUGUAUGGUUUGAGCCAAUGUAAGACUGAGCCUCAUAAAAGCGAGUUUGAGGAAGUCCUCAGCUGAUAAGCUCAGACAUGGUUUUGGCGCCUAGCACAGCAGCAGCAACCACAGGGAAGGACUACUGUCAUGACUGGGGUCUCUCUUCCAGGACCCCUCACUGCACCGUGAGCCAGGAGGACCCCAGCUCCUGGAUGGAAAGUAAAAGUCAGUGACUAAGAGAAUGGAAGGUCCUCAAGGCAAAGACUUAGUCACACUCAAUGUCAACGUUGAUGUGUCAGGAUCCUUUCAAUUCCAAAUACCAACAAAAUCAUGUGAGAAAAUAAAAGAGCAAUGAAUUUCUCAAGUAUCAGCUUGUAAUCACCAAUCCCAUCUGCUACUUACUAAAGACCUCAGAGUUGUAUCAAAGGUCAAAACAGUGAAAAGGACCUCAUGGAGCACCUAGUCCACAUUCAUUAAAGUGAACUAAACUGAAGUAGAUCGAAUUAAAUCAUAUUGAAUAUGUCAACAAGAAAUGGUGAAAAACACAUCCAGCUGUCUACCAGCAAAGAACUGCAGAUUGCAAUGUCAGCAUAGAAUGAUUAUUCAAGCCAGCAGCAAAUCAACAUU